UACCAGCACCCCGAGUGGUCGGGACGUUUAUUGGGCCCAAAGCAUCCGUAGCCGGUUCUACGAGUCUUCCGUUAAAUCCAACUGCUUAACAGGUGGGCUGCGGAAGAUACUAUAGAGCUAGGAGGCGGGAGAGGCAAGCGGUACUCGAUGGGUAGGGGUAAAAUCCGUUGAUCCAUUGAAGACCACCAGUGGCGAAGGCGGCUUGCCAGAACGCGCUCGACGGUGAGGGAUGAAAGCUGGGGGAGCAAACCGG
Molecule: ribosomal RNA, 253 nt
Filed under: uncultured bacterium
Lineage: Bacteria
Description: partial 16S ribosomal RNA
Rfam family: Archaeal small subunit ribosomal RNA
Source: RNAcentral